GACGAACGCUGGCGGCGUGCUUAACACAUGCAAGUCGAACGGAAAGGCCCUGCUUUUGUGGGGUGCUCGAGUGGCGAACGGGUGAGUAACACGUGAGUAACCUGCCCUUGACUUUGGGAUAACUUCAGGAAACUGGGGCUAAUACCGGAUAGGAGCUCCUGCUGCAUGGUGGGGGUUGGAAAGUUUCGGCGGUUGGGGAUGGACUCGCGGCUUAUCAGCUUGUUGGUGGGGUAGUGGCUUACCAGGCUUUGACGGGUAGCCGGCCCGAGAGGGUGACCGGCCACAUUGGGACUGAGAUACGGCCCAGACUCCUACGGGAGGCAGCAGUGGGGAAUAUUGCACAAUGGGCGGAAGCCUGAUGCAGCAACGCCGCGUGCGGGAUGACGGCCUUCGGGUUGUAAACCGCUUUCGCCUGUGACGAAGCGUGAGUGACGGUAAUGGGUAAAGAAGCACCGGCUAACUACGUG
RNAcentral lists this ribosomal RNA (467 nucleotides) under uncultured bacterium. Its description in RNAcentral is "partial 16S ribosomal RNA". It matches the Rfam family "Bacterial small subunit ribosomal RNA", at positions 28 to 507 of the family's 1533-position model. The record is from RNAcentral.